RNAcentral lists this non-coding RNA (788 nucleotides) under Cantharis plagiata. Lineage: Eukaryota; Metazoa; Arthropoda; Insecta; Coleoptera; Cantharidae. The record is from RNAcentral.
UUAUUUUUUAAAAAGUUGUUUAAGAAAGUUUUAUUUUGGCUUAUUAAUUUUUUAUUUGUAUUUAUAUUAUAAAAAAAUUAAAUUUUUAGAUAGUUAAUAUUUUUAGUUAAUAAUUUUAAGUUAAUAUUUUUUAAUGGAUAAUUUAGAAAUACAAAAAAGUUUUAAUUAAAUUUGUGCCAGCAAUUGCGGUUAAACAAAUAAAACAAAAUAAUUUUAUUUGAAUAUAAUAAUUUAUUUAUUAAGUUAAUUUUAUUAUGAUAUUUAUUAGGUGAAAUUUUAAUGUUAUUAAGUUUUAAUAUUUAUAAAGAUUUUAUGAAAUUUUAUUAAAAGACUAGGAUUAGAUACCCUAUUAUUUUAUUUUGUAAAUUUAAAAUUUAAAAAAUUAAUAGAUUAAGAUCUUUAAAAUUAAAAAAUUUGGCGGUAUUUUAUUCAAUUCAGAGGAAUCUGUAGCGUAAUUGAUAAUCCACGAUUUACUUUACUUUUAAUAAUGUUUGUAUAUCGUCGUUUUAAAUGAAUAUUUUAAUAGAAUAAUAAUAUUCUAAUUAUUUUAAUAAUAAAUUUAUUUCAGAUCAAGGUGCAGUUUUUAAAAGAAGCUAUGGAUUACAAUUUUAUUAGAUAAAAUAUAGAUUAAAUAUUUAUAAAUUUUUAAGAAAGAGGAUUUGGUUGUAAGAUUUAAAAAAUUAAAAUCUGAUAAUUUGCUCUAAAAUGUGCACAUAUUGCCCGUCAUUUUCAUUUAAAUUGGAACAAGUCGUAACAUAGUAGAUGUACUGGAAAGUGUAUCUAGUCUG